RNAcentral lists this non-coding RNA (25 nucleotides) under Drosophila melanogaster (fruit fly). The record is from RNAcentral. Lineage: Eukaryota; Metazoa; Arthropoda; Insecta; Diptera; Drosophilidae.
GACGAACUACCAGCCCGAGCCUUAA